This 1244-nucleotide long non-coding RNA is filed under the name Androctonus crassicauda. Lineage: Eukaryota; Metazoa; Arthropoda; Arachnida; Scorpiones; Buthidae. The record is from RNAcentral.
CCUCUCGCCAUGGGGUGGACUCUGUGUUGGUCCCGUAGCCUUUCCUAAAAGACUACCCUUCAAGCCAGGUUCACAAGUGGCUGGCCAGGAUCCUGUUUGGGAGCCAGAAACGUACCCCCAAGGGGUGCUGAGUUCCAGUUUGGCCUCAAGGGGAAGCCUAGUCCACUGGGGCCUUUCUGGCUUUGGGGACAACCAGCCCCCUAGGGUUAGGUGUCCGCAGUCCACGGGGGCUUGUGAGGACAUAAGCUGGGUGAGGGGGCUCGACUCUGAAACUUGGCCAGAACCUUCCCGUAAACUCUGGCCCCACUUCUAACUGCUCUAUAAACACAUAUACAUAUAUUUACAUAUAUAUACAGAGUGACUGACUGGCAUCCGCUUGAGCCUGAGACUUGCCAUAAAAAACUGCUGAGCCCUCGGCGCGCACGCUCAGCUUCGUCCUCCAUCUGUUCGGGGUAGGUGUCGAGCAAACGUGUCUAGAUAUUUCAGAUGGGUUUCUGAUGCACUGUUGCCAAGGAAGGCUUUUUUUUUUUUCCUGAUUUUUUGACAAACGAAUUUUUUGCACACUUUAAAUUGGUGACUUUUGGCAACUUUCAAACACACUGAAAACUAGCUGCUGUACAUAUUUUUAUACCCUCUUUAUAAGCGCAUGUCUGACUGUACUCGUGACCACGUCGUGACGCGGGGCCGUCCAGUCGGCCUGGCUCGGCUCGGGCCGUCGGAGAAGCGGUGUGACUAGCGGCCCCUCAGCAGUCCCGGGAACUUCCUCCUGAACAAAGAGUGAAUUUGGUCAAGGCUGCUCCUGGUUCAUUCAGCCGUUUUCAGCAUUUGAAGUAACUACUGUAUAUCCUAAAUACACCCAUCCUUUUGGCAGUGACUGGAUUUCCACGAAUGUGUCUUACUAUAUCCUUCAGCUGGCAGUUACUCUUAGCUCUUACUGACCCCUUGAAGCUGUUCUGCAGGAGACAGAAGCUCUUUGCAGUCUGUAUCCCUCGGAGGAAGAAGGUAGUGGUGUGGGUGGAGUGUGUGUUCUUUCUCCAGAUUUAUUAUAAUGUUUUAAACACGUCUGUAGCCAAGAUGGUGGGGGUCCUCUUGUUACGGAAGUCACCCUUCACCGUGGCGAUUUGUGAAGGAGAUGCACUUGAACGUUGCUGUAAAUCUUGAGAUAAACUGUUUGGAGAUUUAACCACCUCUGAUGGGGGACCAACUCUAUGGAAAUUGUAAAUAAGUUUUAUUUAUAAACCUGG